Molecule: long non-coding RNA, 427 nt
Filed under: Mytilus galloprovincialis (Mediterranean mussel)
Lineage: Eukaryota; Metazoa; Mollusca; Bivalvia; Mytilida; Mytilidae
Source: RNAcentral
CUAAGUAAUUUAACACACAACUUUGUGAACCAAAAAAUAUACUUCCGGCAACGAUAGUAAUAAAUAUCUAUUAACUUCCAAUAACAUUCCAAAUGAUAAAUAUCAUAUUAUGAAUACCCGUCAUAAACAGACACUCGCCGCCCAGGAAAAACCAACUUAUAAAGUUUGGAAACCUGCGCACGGAGCAAUGCAAGAACCGUUUCUGGGUAAUGAUGCCGUACUCCAUCAUGAUCAUGAUUAUAUAAAAAACAAUUUUAUACACAAAAAAGGAAGUUUUAACUAUACGAUGUCUACGGCUAGAAUGACCACCUAGACAAUUUUUUCACGAACCCGCGAAAAACAAAUUUACAUAACAAAACAUUAGGUCACCUGACCUAUCGAAUCAUAUAUCAUUGACCCAUACAAAAUAUAACAGAAACUUUAAGAC